Pan troglodytes (chimpanzee) is the source of this 3868-nucleotide RNA transcript. It is a transcript of the gene named ectonucleoside triphosphate diphosphohydrolase 1, with no coding region annotated. NCBI's taxonomy places the organism in Eukaryota, Metazoa, Chordata, Mammalia, Primates, Hominidae. The transcript has 14 exons. The record is from RefSeq and is a predicted model, not a curated record.
GUUGCCUGGCAACCGUCAGUGACGAAGGAGCCCUUGCGCCUUCCUUCCGCUAGGUGGCGGUAGGAGUUCGGCGAACCGAGAGGUUCCGCGCCCACUUCGCGGCCCAGAGGACCGAGCCCGGCCUCCGGUGCAAGGAAACCCCAGAGGCCGGAACUAGAAUUGCAAAUUUUUUUUCACCCCGGAUUCCAACGGCAUUCUGUUAUAAGCAACAGAGAAUGAACGAAGACAGAAAAUUGGAACCAAGAAGUGGGAUUUUGCUGAUGACAAAUACCUGAAAAUGGGGAAGCAGCCUUGGAACUAGAGCCCCAACUUUUUACUGAGCACAAUAUAGCCAAAAGAUGACAUUGCCCAGCCUCUUUCGCAGAUAGCUGUGGCUAUUCCAGGAUCCCAGAAAAUGGUAGCCACAAAUGAAGGCCUCUGAAGCAGAACUGCCCUGGAUCUUUACUGUGCUGGUGCCCUCUCGGACUUUCUCUUGCCCUUCUGUCUCUGGCCUCUCAUUCUCCCCCGAGGCAUGGAAACUAGAAUUCCUCUUCCCCCAGCGAUUGUCAGUGAAACUUCAGAGGGCAAAGGGGAAGUUUUCCUUGGCCCCUCCAGUUUUGGUGCUGUGAACAGGAUACCAAAGCUGCUCUGUUCUUCUGGAAGCUGCAAUGAAGGGAACCAAGGACCUGACGAGCCAGCAGAAGGAGUCUAACGUGAAGACAUUUUGCUCCAAGAAUAUCCUAGCCAUCCUUGGCUUCUCCUCUAUCAUAGCUGUGAUAGCUUUGCUUGCUGUGGGGUUGACCCAGAACAAAGCAUUGCCAGAAAACGUUAAGUAUGGGAUUGUGCUGGAUGCGGGUUCUUCUCACACAAGUUUAUACAUCUAUAAGUGGCCAGCAGAAAAGGAGAAUGACACAGGGGUGGUGCAUCAAGUAGAAGAAUGCAGGGUUAAAGGUCCUGGAAUCUCAAAAUUUGUUCAGAAAGUAAAUGAAAUAGGCAUUUACCUGACUGAUUGCAUGGAAAGAGCUAGGGAAGUGAUUCCAAGGUCCCAGCACCAAGAGACACCCGUUUACCUGGGAGCCACGGCAGGCAUGCGGUUGCUCAGGAUGGAAAGUGAAGAGUUGGCAGACAGGGUUCUGGAUGUGGUGGAGAGGAGCCUCAGCAACUACCCCUUUGACUUCCAGGGUGCCAGGAUCAUUACUGGCCAAGAGGAAGGUGCCUAUGGCUGGAUUACUAUCAACUAUCUGCUGGGCAAAUUCAGUCAGAAAACAAGGUGGUUCAGCAUAGUCCCAUAUGAAACCAAUAAUCAGGAAACCUUUGGAGCUUUGGACCUUGGGGGAGCCUCUACACAAAUCACUUUUGUACCCCAAAAUCAGACUAUCGAGUCCCCAGAUAAUGCUCUGCAAUUUCGCCUCUAUGGCAAGGACUACAAUGUCUACACACAUAGCUUCUUGUGCUAUGGGAAGGAUCAGGCACUCUGGCGGAAACUGGCCAAGGACAUUCAGGUUGCAAGUAAUGAAAUUCUCAGGGACCCAUGCUUUCAUCCUGGAUAUAAGAAGGUAGUGAACGUAAGUGACCUUUACAAGACCCCCUGCACCAAGAGAUUUGAGAUGACUCUUCCAUUCCAGCAGUUUGAAAUCCAGGGUAUUGGAAACUAUCAACAAUGCCAUCAAAGCAUCCUGGAGCUCUUCAACACCAGUUACUGCCCUUACUCCCAGUGUGCCUUCAAUGGGAUUUUCUUGCCACCACUCCAGGGGGAUUUUGGGGCAUUUUCAGCUUUUUACUUUGUGAUGAAGUUUUUAAACUUGACAUCAGAGAAAGUCUCUCAGGAAAAGGUGACUGAGAUGAUGAAAAAGUUCUGUGCUCAGCCUUGGGAGGAGAUAAAAACAUCUUACGCUGGAGUAAAGGAGAAGUAUCUGAGUGAAUACUGCUUUUCUGGUACCUACAUUCUCUCCCUCCUUCUGCAAGGCUAUCAUUUCACAGCUGAUUCCUGGGAGCACAUCCAUUUCAUUGGCAAGGUUGACCAAUCUGAAAGCUCUGUGUGAAGAAGGGGACUGAGUGGCUGUGAAUGAUGAGACCGUUGUUUAGAAGCCAGGCUUAGCCUGAGUCCGGAAGAAGCAACCUCAAUGCUGUGCUUUACCAUAGCACCACCUGCAGAUCCAGGGCAGCGACGCCGGCUGGACUUUGGGCUACAUGCUGAACCUGACCAACAUGAUCCCAGCUGAGCAACCAUUGUCCACACCUCUCUCCCACUCCACCUAUGUCUUCCUCAUGGUUCUAUUCUCCCUGGUCCUUUUCACAGUGGCCAUCAUAGGCUUGCUUAUCUUUCACAAGCCUUCAUAUUUCUGGAAAGAUAUGGUAUAGCAAAAGCAGCUGAAAUAUGCUGGCUGGAGUGAGGGAAAAAAUCGUCCAGGGAGCAUUUUCCUCCAUCGCAGUGUUCAAGGCCAUCCUUCCCUGUCUGCCAGGGCCAGUCUUGACGAGUGUGAAGCUUCCUUGGCUUUUACUGAAGCCUUUCUUUUGGAGGUAUUCAAUAUCCUCUGCCUCAAGGACUUCGGCAGAUACUGUCUCUUUCAUGAGUUUUUCCCAGCUACACCUUUCUCCUUUGUACUUUGUGCUUGUAUAGGUUUUAAAGACCUGACACCUUUCAUAAUAUUUGCUUUAUAAAAGAACAAUAUUGACUUUGUCUAGAAGAACUGAGAGUCUUGAGUCCUGUGAUAGGAGGCUGAGCUGGCUGAAAGAAGAAUCUCAGGAACUGGUUCAGUUGUACUCUUUAAGAACCCCUUUCUCUCUCCUGUUUGCCAUCCAUUAAGAAAGCCAUAUGAUGCCUUUGGAGAAGGCAGACACACAUUUCAUUCCCAGCCUGCUCUGUGGGUAGGAGAAUUUUCUACAGUAGGCAAAUAUGUGCUAAAGCCAAAGAGUUUUAUAAGGAAAUAUAUGUGCUCAUGCAGUCAAUACAGUUCUCAAUCCCACCCAAAGCAGGGAUGUCAAUAAAUCACAUAUUCCUAGGUGAUACCCAAAUGCUACAGAGUGGAACACUCAGACCUGAGAUUUGCAAAAAGCAGAUGUAAAUAUAUGCAUUCAAACAUCAGGGCUUACUAUGAGGUAGGUGGUAUAUACAUGUCACAAAUAAAAAUACAGUUACAACUCAGGGUCACAAAAAUGCAUCUUCCAAUGCAUAUUUUUAUUAUGGUAAAAUAUACAUAAAUAUAAUUCACCAUUUUAACAUUUAAUUCAUAUUAAAUACGUACAAAUCAGUGACAUUUAGUACAUUCACAGUGUUGUGCCACCAUCACCACUAUUUAGUUCCAGAACAUUUGCAUCAUCAAGACAUUGUCUGGAGACAAGACUAUCCUGGGUAGGCAGAAACCAUAGAUCUUUUGUGUUUACAGCUAUGGAAACCAACUGUACCAUAAAGAUAGUUCACUGAGUUUUAAAGCCAAGCCACAUCUUAUUUUUCCAAGGUUUAAUUUAGUGAGAGGGCAGCAUUAGUGUGGAGUGGCAUGCUUUUGCCCUAUCAUGGAAUUUACACAUCAGAAUGUGCAGGAUCCAAGUCUGAAAGUGUUGCCACCCGUCACACAACAUGGGCUUUGUUUGCUUAUUCCAUGAAGCAGCAGCUAUGGACCUUACCAUGGAAACAUGAAGAGACCCUGUACCCCUUUCCUUAAGGAUUGCUGCAAGAGUUACCUGUUGAGCAGGAUUGACUGGUGAUGUUUCAUUCUGACCUUGUCCCAAGCUCUCCAUCUCUAGAUCUGGGGACUGACUGUUGAGCUGAUGGGGAAAGAAAAGCUCUCACACAAACCAGAAGCCAAAUGUCCCCUAUCUCUUGAAUGAUCAAGUCACUUUUGACAACAGCCAGGUGAAUAUAAAAACUUAAUAAAGCUGUGGAAAGGAA